Molecule: ribosomal RNA, 301 nt
Filed under: uncultured bacterium
Lineage: Bacteria
Description: partial 16S ribosomal RNA
Rfam family: Bacterial small subunit ribosomal RNA
Source: RNAcentral
CAGCCGCCACGGUAAUACGUAGGGUGCAAGCGUUAAUCGGAAUUACCGGGCGUAAAGCGUGCGCAGGCGGUUUGUUAAGACAGAUGUGAAAUCCCCGGGCUCAACCUGGGAACUGCAUUUGUGACUGGCAGGUUAGAGUAUGGCAGAGGGGGGUGGAAUUCCGCGUGUAGCAGUGAAAUGCGUAGAUAUGCGGAGGAACACCGAUGGCGAAGGCAAUCCCCUGGGCCUGUACUGACGCUCAUGCACGAAAGCGUGGGGAGCAAACAGGAUUAGAUACCCCAGUAGUCCCUGUCUCUUAUAC